Long non-coding RNA from Myxocyprinus asiaticus (Chinese sucker), 861 nucleotides. RefSeq lists it as uncharacterized. The transcript has 4 exons. NCBI's taxonomy places the organism in Eukaryota, Metazoa, Chordata, Actinopteri, Cypriniformes, Catostomidae. The record is from RefSeq and is a predicted model, not a curated record.
GUCUUUGGGAGAAACAACAACAAAACUACAUCUGUUGGUGCUCUGUGAAAGUGGAAAUAAUUUUUGAUUUGGAAGAUAAGGAAGAAAGAAGACAGACAGAGAGAAAGUGGGUGAGAGAGAUAAGCCGCAAUGUCGAUGGAGACAUGAGGUAAUGGAGAGAGAUGUAGCUGAAAAGCAUCUCUCAGGAGAGAAGAGGACUCGCUCAAGGACAUGACCUAAGAGUUCAUUUAUGUUCAUUUGUUCUGGGUCACAAAAGACCUGAUGCCUUUCUCCACUCACAGUACCACUGGUCCUCAAUAACUCCAUUUAACCUCUCCAGGGUUUAGGAGUUACUAACUAAAUGUAGCGAUGCUACUUAAAGAGAAUUCACUCACAAGUUCAAAUUCUGUCAUCAUUUACUCACCCUCAUGUUAGAAUAUUGGCCAAACGGAAUAUUGUUUACAACAAAAACAAUAUUUUCAAACAGGCUGGAGAGACGCAUUCCACGUCCCGCAUGUUCAGGAGGUGGACACUUCACACUGAGUCAGCGCACACAUAACUCAGCCUCGGCUCACAAACUUCUUAAACUACUUCAAAGAGUUCUCAUCAAAAAAAUCCUCCACGUGCAGCAAUGACAGCUUUGCAGAUCCUUGGCAUUCUAGCUGUCAGUUUGUCCAGAUACUCAGGUGACAUUUCACCCCACACUUCCUGUAGCACUUGCCAUAGAUGUGGCUGUCUUGUCGAGCACUUCUCACCUUUAUUUUUCAUUUUAUCAUAGAUGUUUUCUUUAUAUUAAUAUGUUUGAAUGAAUAAAAUAAAAUGUAUUUUUUGUUUAGUAAGUUUAGUUAUUCCUUGUAAUACAGUUUUAUUGAAAAAUCUCAU